UGACCCCAUGCCGAACUCAGAAGUGAAACGCCGUAGCGCCGAUGGUAGUGUGGGGUCUCCCCAUGCGAGAGUAGGGAACUGCCAGAC
This 87-nucleotide ribosomal RNA is filed under the name Citrobacter freundii. Lineage: Bacteria; Pseudomonadati; Pseudomonadota; Gammaproteobacteria; Enterobacterales; Enterobacteriaceae. The record is from RNAcentral. RNAcentral also lists the same sequence under 11 other names.